AACGAACGCUGGCGGCAUGCCUAACACAUGCAAGUCGAACGUGAUCCAGGGCUUCGGCUCUGGUGAAAGUGGCGGACGGGUGAGUAACGCGUGGGAACCUGCCCAGUGGUAGGGGAUAACCGCGGGAAACUGCGGCUAAUACCCUAUGUGCCCUGCGGGGCAAAGAUUCAUCGCCAUUGGAGGGGCCCGCGUCGGAUUAGGUCGUUGGUGAGGUAACGGCUCACCAAGCCUGCGAUCCGUAGCUGGUCUGAGAGGAUGAUCAGCCACACUGGGACUGAGACACGGCCCAGACUCCUACGGGAGGCAGCAGUGGGGAGUAUUGGACAAUGGGGGCAACCCUGAUCCAGCAAUGCCGCGUGAGUGAUGAAGGCCUUAGGGUUGUAAAGCUCUUUCGGCGGGGAAGAUGAUGACGGUACCCGCAGAAGAAGCCCCGGCUAACUUCGUGCCAGCAGCCGCGGUAAUACGAAGGGGGCUAGCGUUGUUCGGAAUUACUGGGCGUAAA
This 502-nucleotide ribosomal RNA is filed under the name uncultured bacterium. RNAcentral's name for it is "bacterial SSU rRNA". It matches the Rfam family "Bacterial small subunit ribosomal RNA", at positions 28 to 564 of the family's 1533-position model. The record is from RNAcentral.